AGAGUUUGAUCAUGCUCAGGAUGAACGCUAGCGGCAGGCUUAACACAUGCAAGUCGAGGGGCAGCGCGGGUAGCAAUACUUGGCGGCGACCGGCGAAAGGGUGAGUAACGCGUGAGCAACAUACCCGUUGGUGGGGGAUAGGAGGUGGAAACGCCUUGUAAUACCCCAUAUGAUACGAAGUGGCAUCACAUUGUAUUGAAAGAUUCAUUGCCAACGGAUUGGUUCGCGUGCCAUUAGGUAGACGGCGGGGUAACGGCCCACCGUGCCGACGAUGGCUAGGGGUUCUGAGAGGAAGGUCCCCCACAUUGGAACUGAGACACGGUCCAGACUCC
This 332-nucleotide ribosomal RNA is filed under the name uncultured Bacteroidales bacterium. RNAcentral's name for it is "bacterial SSU rRNA". It matches the Rfam family "Bacterial small subunit ribosomal RNA", at positions 8 to 339 of the family's 1533-position model. The record is from RNAcentral. Lineage: Bacteria; Pseudomonadati; Bacteroidota; Bacteroidia; Bacteroidales.